RNAcentral lists this transfer RNA (75 nucleotides) under Kapaibacterium sp. (SeqCode). RNAcentral describes it as "tRNA-Pro". It matches the Rfam family "tRNA". From Rfam's summary of the family: Transfer RNA (tRNA) molecules are approximately 80 nucleotides in length. Their secondary structure includes four short double-helical elements and three loops (D, anti-codon, and T loops). The record is from RNAcentral. Lineage: Bacteria; Pseudomonadati; Bacteroidota; Eximiradiia; Eximiradiales; Kapaibacteriaceae (SeqCode).
CGGGGUGUGGCUCAGUCCGGUUAGAGCACCUGCUUUGGGAGCAGGGGGUCGAGAGUUCGAAUCCCUCCACCCCGA